This 684-nucleotide ribosomal RNA is filed under the name fungal sp. K6. RNAcentral describes it as "SSU rRNA". It matches the Rfam family "Eukaryotic small subunit ribosomal RNA", at positions 387 to 1076 of the family's 1831-position model. Lineage: Eukaryota; Fungi. The record is from RNAcentral.
AGAAGGAGCCUGAGAAACGGCUACUACAUCCAAGGAAGGCAGCAGGCGCGCAAAUUACCCAAUCCCGACACGGGGAGGUAGUGACAAUAAAUACUGAUACAGGGCUCUUUUGGGUCUUGUAAUCGGAAUGAGUACAAUUUAAAUCCCUUAACGAGGAACAAUUGGAGGGCAAGUCUGGUGCCAGCAGCCGCGGUAAUUCCAGCUCCAAUAGCGUAUAUUAAAGUUGUUGUGGUUAAAAAGCUCGUAGUUGAACCUUGGGCCUGGCUGGCCGGUCCGCCUCACCGCGUGCACUGGUCCGGCCGGGCCUUUCCCUCUGCGGAACCCCAUGCCCUUCACUGGGUGUGGCGGGGAAACAGGACUUUUACUUUGAAAAAAUUAGAGUGCUCAAGGCAGGCCUAUGCUCGAAUACAUUAGCAUGGAAUAAUAGAAUAGGACGUGUGGUUCUAUUUUGUUGGUUUCUAGGACCGCCGUAAUGAUUAAUAGGGACAGUCGGGGGCAUCAGUAUUCAAUUGUCAGAGGUGAAAUUCUUGGAUUUAUUGAAGACUAACUACUGCGAAAGCAUUUGCCAAGGAUGUUUUCAUUAAUCAGGAACGAAAGUUAGGGGAUCGAAGACGAUCAGAUACCGUCGUAGUCUUAACCAUAAACUAUGCCGACUAGGGAUCGGACGAUGUUACAUUUUUGACG